Molecule: unclassified non-coding RNA, 1006 nt
Filed under: Yarrowia lipolytica
Lineage: Eukaryota; Fungi; Ascomycota; Dipodascomycetes; Dipodascales
Source: RNAcentral
GGUGAGGUGAGGGUCAGAGGUGAUGGUCAGAGAUGGGUGGAGGGUAGAGGGUGGUGUGGUACUGCGAUUACUGGACUUGUCAGCGCCUUACAGUGGGCAGUCCUCUCGUGGCUUUUCUGCCGGAGCUAGACUUGCUCAAUGACGUCAAUAAGCCCGCGGUGACAUGAUGAUGACAAGUCCGUGGAGGAUCGAGGGAGAGUACGAGGGAGAGUACGAGGGAGAGUACGAGUACCGUACGAGACACGAGUACCGUACGAGGGAGAGCACGAGACACGAGUACCGUACGAGGGAGAGCACGAGACACGAGUACCGUACGAGGGAGAGCACGAGACACGAGUACCGUACGAGACACGAGUACCGUACGAGAGAUGUGAAUGAGUGUAAGUGCGAGUACGCUCCAGUGAGACUACACAGACUACAGUAGAAUCGCUUCGCACUCGUCUCCGGUCUUAACCCAUACCUAGGAGUUCACUUCUGUAGCCCCAUUCUACCGGUACAGCAUCUUGAGACGGCCGAUCCAAACCUGGUGACUGCUUUCGGAGAUAUGACAGUAGAUCAUGGACUUGCAUCAGAAGAGCCAUCACUUGGUAAAGUCAACCGACCCCCAACUCUUAGAACAUAGGACCAAAGGAUGCGGCAGAAACAGCUGACAACGACAAAAGCCGGGUCACGUGACCGCAAAUCAUGAGGCAAUUGUCAACUUCAGGGUUGAAAAUUACUUUUUUUUUUCUUUUUUCCUGUUUUUCCUGUUUUUUCCCUUUUCGGAAGAAAGGAGUCGGCUUUUGAACACCACUGUGUUUUGAAAACGAAACAGGUAUAUAACAUGACAUUGAUUGUGGUUACAUGAUUCUUUUGUAUGUUUCAACUCCAGUAUUCCUCUCACCAGUCUGAUUCACUAUCAUGUUCCCACCUUCAGUUGAUCUCAUGGUCACUUGAACUUAUCUUCACCUCCACUGUCGGUAGAGGUAACGACUUUUGUAUAAAAUGAAAUUUUAUAUACCAAAAU